GAUGAACGCUGGCGGCGUGCCUAAUACAUGCAAGUCGAGCGAACAGACGAGGAGCUUGCUCCUCUGACGUUAGCGGCGGACGGGUGAGUAACACGUGGAUAACCUACCUAUAAGACUGGGAUAACUUCGGGAAACCGGAGCUAAUACCGGAUAAUAUAUUGAACCGCAUGGUUCAAUAGUGAAAGACGGUUUUGCUGUCACUUAUAGAUGGAUCCGCGCCGCAUUAGCUAGUUGGUAAGGUAACGGCUUACCAAGGCAACGAUGCGUAGCCGACCUGAGAGGGUGAUCGGCCACACUGGAACUGCGACACGGUCCAGACUCCUACGGGAGGCAGCAGUAGGGAAUCUUCCGCAAUGGGCGAAAGCCUGACGGAGCAACGCCGCGUGAGUGAUGAAGGUCUUCGGAUCGUAAAACUCUGUUAUUAGGGAAGAACAAAUGUGUAAGUAACUAUGCACGUCUUGACGGCACCUAAUCAGAAAGCCACGGCUAACUACGUG
RNAcentral lists this ribosomal RNA (497 nucleotides) under uncultured bacterium. Its description in RNAcentral is "partial 16S ribosomal RNA". It matches the Rfam family "Bacterial small subunit ribosomal RNA", at positions 28 to 507 of the family's 1533-position model. The record is from RNAcentral.